Molecule: transfer RNA, 73 nt
Filed under: Cellulomonas sp.
Lineage: Bacteria; Bacillati; Actinomycetota; Actinomycetes; Micrococcales; Cellulomonadaceae
Description: tRNA-Ala
Rfam family: tRNA
About the family: Transfer RNA (tRNA) molecules are approximately 80 nucleotides in length. Their secondary structure includes four short double-helical elements and three loops (D, anti-codon, and T loops). Further hydrogen bonds mediate the characteristic L-shaped molecular structure. tRNAs have two regions of fundamental functional importance: the anti-codon, which is responsible for specific mRNA codon recognition, and the 3' end, to which the tRNAs corresponding amino acid is attached (by aminoacyl-tRNA synthetases). tRNAs cope with the degeneracy of the genetic code in two manners: having more than one tRNA (with a specific anti-codon) for a particular amino acid; and 'wobble' base-pairing, i.e. permitting non-standard base-pairing at the 3rd anti-codon position.
Source: RNAcentral
GGGGCUGUGGCGCAGUUGGUAGCGCGUCUCGUUCGCAACGAGAAGGUCGCCGGUUCGAAUCCGGUCAGCUCCA